GUUAGCAUAGUCUUAAAUAAAGAUAUUAGAUCGUGGCUCUAAAGAUAGGGAUAUACAACCCCCCUUGCUGACA
This 73-nucleotide transfer RNA is filed under the name Pethia gelius (golden barb). RNAcentral describes it as "tRNA-His". The record is from RNAcentral. Lineage: Eukaryota; Metazoa; Chordata; Actinopteri; Cypriniformes; Cyprinidae.